RNAcentral lists this ribosomal RNA (446 nucleotides) under uncultured bacterium. Its description in RNAcentral is "bacterial SSU rRNA". It matches the Rfam family "Bacterial small subunit ribosomal RNA", at positions 330 to 792 of the family's 1533-position model. The record is from RNAcentral.
ACCAGACUCCUACGGGAGGCAGCAGUGGGGAAUAUUGCACAAUGGGGGGAACCCUGAUGCAGCGACGCCGCGUGAGUGAAGAAGUAUUUCGGUAUGUAAAGCUCUAUUAGCAGGGAAGAAAAUGACGGUACCUGACUAAGAAGCCCCGGCUAACUACGUGCCAGCAGCCGCGGUAAUACGUAGGGGGCAAGCGUUAUCCGGAUUUACUGGGUGUAAAGGGAGCGUAGGUGGCAUGGUAAGCCAGAAGUGAAAACCCAGGGCUCAACGCUGCGGAUUGCUUUUGGAACUAUCAAGCUAGAGUGCUGGAGGGGUAAGCGGAAUUCCUAGUGUAGCGGUGAAAUGCGUAGAUAUUAGGAGGAACACCGGUGGCGAAGGCGGCUUACUGGACAGAAACUGACACUGAGGCUCGAAAGCGUGGGGAGCCAACAGGAUUAGAUACCCGCGUA